UGCAGGCUGGAAGUAGGAGUGU
Molecule: microRNA, 22 nt
Filed under: Gallus gallus (chicken)
Lineage: Eukaryota; Metazoa; Chordata; Aves; Galliformes; Phasianidae
Description: gga-miR-1556
Source: miRBase by way of RNAcentral